This is an RNA transcript of Colletes gigas, 1836 nucleotides long. It is a transcript of the gene named derlin-2, with no coding region annotated. The record is from RefSeq and is a predicted model, not a curated record. The transcript has 7 exons. NCBI's taxonomy places the organism in Eukaryota, Metazoa, Arthropoda, Insecta, Hymenoptera, Colletidae.
CACGUAUUACGUGUACAAAACUGAACAUAACAAAUUUGUCGUGAUGUGGGUAACGAUUAAAUUUAGGUAACGCACAGUGACGAGCAACAUGUGAUGAUAAGCUGUAAAGAGGAAGAGUUUAGAAACAAUAUUGGUCUCUGGGUGUACAAAAGAUCGUAAUAAUCCACUAAUGGCCUAUCAAAUGUUUCGGCAGGAGUACAUGCAAAUGCCUGUGGUGACACGAGCUUACACAACAGCUUGUGUCAUCACGACUGUUGCUGUGCAACUAGACUUGAUGUCACCGUUUCGGUUGUAUUUCAAUCCUACACUAAUAAUCGAACAAUAUCAGCUAUGGAGAUUAAUAACAACAUUUUUAUUUUUUGGAAAUAUGGGUUUCAAUUUCUUUUUUAACAUGAUCUUCACGUAUCGUUAUUGUCGAAUGUUGGAAGAAGGAUCAUUCCGCAGAAGGACAGCCGACUUUGUAAUGAUGUUCAUUUUUGGAGCCAUAUGCAUGAUUAUGUUUGCGUUUUUUGUUAAUGUAAUGUUCCUGGGCCAUGCGUUUACAAUUAUGUUAGUCUAUGUUUGGUCAAGGCGAAACCCUUUCGUUAGGUUAAACUUCUUUGGACUUAUAAACUUUCAAGCGCCGUAUUUGCCGUGGGUGCUUCUCGGGUUUUCUAUACUUCUUGGUAAUACAAUAUGGGUAGAUCUAGUUGGAAUGGCUGUAGGACACAUGUACUACUUCGCGGAGGAUGUAUUUCCACGUUCAAGAGGAGGUUUUCGUGUUCUUAAGACUCCGCAAAUACUUAAGACUUUAUUUGACGCACAUCCAGAAGAUCCAGACUAUACGCCACCGCCCGAAGAUCGUCCGGGUGGAUUCAAUUGGGGUCAAGAAGCCAAUGUGCAGUGAUUCUAAAUUUGAAGUCCUGCUUCCAAAUCGUCUCUUACCAAUUGGCAUAUCAAACGAGUCCCUGGACUUUGUAUCAAUUACAUAACAGUACAUUUGGUACUACAUUCGAUAACAGAAUGCACAGAACUUACUAACAAUAAAAUACAUCAGUUUUUUUUAUGGGCAUUUGAUAAAAAAUAAUAUUAAAAGGUAUAUAUAAGUUAUAAUUUCAAGAAGACCAGAGAAUGUUUAAUGAAAUGUAAAAUAGCAUUCCCUUUGCUGUUGGUGUUUGUAACUUGUGCGCAUGAAUGAGAAACGAAGUGUAACGAGUUACGAAGGAUAUUAUAUGUAUAUACUUCGAUAUAAAUGAAUACAUUUGUUUAGGUACAUCGGGUUAUAUGUAUUACGUCUAGAUAAAUGUAGUUGUUAAUCAGGGAACUAAUAUUUUUUUUUUUCUUUCCACUGUUGAUAUUAUGAUGCGAUAAAUAUCAUUCACAGUGUUUUACGUAAUGGGGUUUACCGUGGCGGUUAUUUGCUUGUUUUAAAAUGUCAUAUCGCAUGUUAUACUGUGAUGUACUCAUAUUCUCAAUCAAAUGAAUACAUUCUGACAUAAUGUAGAACGGUAAAUUGAUUAAACUUGUUGCGACAAAAUGUACGACGGUAAAAAGCCAAAGCAUUGCAAUGAAUUUCCAUUGGAUGGUUAUUUAUGACUUACCGGAUAGUAAUCGUUCUGUAAAUACUAGAUAAAAAUGUUAUUUAUAUGAUCAUUGCAAGUAAAUAAAUAGUUGAAUUUAGUUUGACAUUACUGCUGUAUACAUUGUAUAUCAUUAAUGUGUAUUGAAUCUUUUUACGUAAAAGAUUUAACGCAUUUAGUUAAUUUUCGAUUUAAAUUUUAAAUACAUUUCAUUUUUAUGAUAGUUCUUUUUGGGUUUUCUUAUAAUUUUUUGAAUACUUAUUGUACAAAUGAAGAU